CCUACCCCUAGAAGCAUUGCAGGUAUGGCUGCAGUAUCACAUGUAUGUUAGUAGGUGGCAGAGAGAAGAAAGGCUAUGUCUACACUCUGUUCUCACCUAUGACUAUCUGAAUGAUUAGUAGCCUAACAUU
Small nucleolar RNA from Acomys russatus (golden spiny mouse), 130 nucleotides. RefSeq annotates it as small nucleolar RNA SNORA17. The transcript has a single exon. Lineage: Eukaryota; Metazoa; Chordata; Mammalia; Rodentia; Muridae. The record is from RefSeq and is a predicted model, not a curated record.